Molecule: ribosomal RNA, 465 nt
Filed under: uncultured Streptococcus sp.
Lineage: Bacteria; Bacillati; Bacillota; Bacilli; Lactobacillales; Streptococcaceae
Description: bacterial SSU rRNA
Rfam family: Bacterial small subunit ribosomal RNA
Source: RNAcentral
ACGGGGCCGCACAAGCGGUGGAGCAUGUGGUUAAUUCGAAGCAACGCGAAGAACCUUACCAGGUCUUGACAUCCCGAUGCUAUUUCUAGAGAUAGAAAGUUACUUCGGUACAUCGGUGACAGGUGGUGCAUGGUUGUCGUCAGCUCGUGUCGUGAGAUGUUGGGUUAAGUCCCGCAACGAGCGCAACCCCUAUUGUUAGUUGCCAUCAUUCAGUUGGGCACUCUAGCGAGACUGCCGGUAAUAAACCGGAGGAAGGUGGGGAUGACGUCAAAUCACCAUGCCCCUUAUGACCUGGGCUACACACGUGCUACAAUGGUUGGUACAACGAGUUGCGAGUCGGUGACGGCGAGCUAAUCUCUUAAAGCCAAUCUCAGUUCGGAUUGUAGGCUGCAACCCGCCUACAUGAAGUCGGAAUCGCUAGUAAUCGCGGAUCAGCACGCCGCGGUCGAAUACGUUCCGGGCCUU